CCGAUCCUAGGAGAGGUCAGAGGUCAGACACUGACAAACGUUUGAAGGCACAGUGUACUUGACCAGUGUAGUGACAGGAGUAGUUACAGGUGUAGUUAUGGGUGUACUUACAGGUGUAGUUAUAGGCGUAGUGUCGGAUGUAGUUACGGGUGUAGUUGUAUGUAGGGAUGUAGUUACAGGUAUAGUGUCAGGUGUAGUUAUAGAUGUAGUUACAUAUGUAGUGAUAGGUGUAGUGUCAGGUGUAGUUACAGGUGUAGUGUCAGUUGUAGUUACAGGUGUAGUGUCAGGUGUAGUGAUGGGUGUAGUGUCGGGUGUAGUUAUAGGUAGUGAUGGGACGAACAACACUGGUGCGUCAGCACUGUGCCGAGCACACAAGAGUGAAACCCCGUAUUGGUGCGUGUAUCACUUUAAGAAAAAAAUCAUGUGACCGAUACAGAAAGUGUGUCGUUUGGAUGUGCUGCGCCAAAUUGUGUUUAAAAGGAAACACUGUAUUGACAUGUAUUGUUGCUGUGUCUGUUUGCCCUCACCUUGUUCAACUUCUGACUUCAUGGAUCGUUCCAGUAAGAAGAAGUUUUCCCCAGUCUGGAAUCAUUUUGAUCUUUUGACGGCAAAUAAGGUGAAGUGUCGGCUCUGCUCCACAGAGCUAUCUUACAUCAAUAAGAGCACUUCAUCAAUGCUGAGGAAUUAUAGAGCUCGGCAUGGCAAUGAAGAAUUGGCAGAUACUCGUGUGAGUACCCCAGGUAUGUUGAAAUUCUAAAAAAUUUGAAUUUCCAAAAAUAGUUUAUUACACACAAAAGGCUUUGUGUGACUCUGUAAUAUUGUUGGUAAAAAUUACAGUCCUUUAAGAAGCUUUAAACUAAAUAUUUCCGUUUGGCUUGCAGUUCCUAACAAGCAAGCAGUGGAUGAGGCUGUGGUCAACAUGAUCAUCAAAGACUGAAAACAUAUAUUUUGUUGUGUUUGUUUGUGUAUUUCUGUUGCAGUUUGUCAUGUGAUAAUAAACUAACAAAGAAUUAUUUCUAAAAUAUUUGUUAGGGCACAAUCUCUGGAAACCUCUGGAUAUGGAGGUUGAGAACAACUCGACCUCGAAUACUACAGUUGAUUCCAUAGUUGAAGUCCAACGCUACCUGGCUGAAACCAACACACCCAGAGCACAAGAUCCGUUACAAUAUUGGAAAAAUAACCAGAAAACAUAUCCACACCUGUAUCAACUCGCACUUAAAUUUUUAUGCACACCAUCCUCAUCUGUACCCUGUGAGAGAGUUUUUUCUAAGGCAGGGGAACUGGUGUCCAAGAAGAGAAAUCGUCUUGGAGCAAAGACACUACAAAAACUUUUGUUCCUCAAUAAAAGUGUAUGAAUGAA
Amphiprion ocellaris (clown anemonefish) is the source of this 1360-nucleotide long non-coding RNA. RefSeq lists it as uncharacterized. The record is from RefSeq and is a predicted model, not a curated record. The transcript is spliced from 2 exons. Lineage: Eukaryota; Metazoa; Chordata; Actinopteri; Pomacentridae.